GAGCCUGGCUCCCGGAUGAUCAGGCAGCCCCAGAGAGCAGCAGCUGAUGGGGGUGGGCCUCAGGUGCAACAUGGGGCUGAGGAGCGAGGCCCACAGGCUGCUCAGGGCUCCCAGGGUGCUGCAGCUAGAGAUCCGGUCAGAGGAGGGGACAGAACUGCCCCCUGCCAGCAACCUUGGGCAAAAAUGGCCAGUGUCCAGCACCCUGCCAGGAAGAAGAGCGGCCUCCGACUGGCAGCUCUGGACCGUCUCCGGGGGUGGACUCGGUGUGCCUGGGGCGUGCAUCCAUGGUACUGCCAGCUAAGGCCAAAAGCCACACCCGUGGCUCCAAAACAAAAGGCCAAAAGGCGAGGAGGUGGGAGGGAAGCCUUGCACGCAGAUCUCCCUGGAUGCCUGGGGACAGACGCCUCAGCUGGCGGGCCCCGCAUGCUUAACCCUGGCUCAUUCUCGGCCGCAAGCCCUUUAGCGCGAUGCCUCCAGGGCAGGCUGCACGACAGCCCCUGCCCACUGGGCCGGAGAGGCAAAUCGAGGCUCAGGCGGAGGCCAGAGAAGUCAGCUGACCUGGAGGAAGGCCCCGCUCCCCUCUCCCCGCCGGCCCCAAGCCACCAAGCUCACCUCCUGCCCUAGGGCCCCAGGUCAGAGCCAGACUGAGGAACUGCGGGAUUUGGUGGUGAGUCCUGGGCCUCCUGGGCCAGCGGCCGGAGCAGGUCGGUGACUGCAGGGGCCUCAAAGAACCCAGGCUUCAAAGUCACCUGUGAAAAUGGAACUACUGUACCUGUCUCUGCAGGAUUAGGGGUAGGGGGCGGGCGGGGGGGAGGGGGGCUUCCAGUGGAGGCAGAGGGCAGCCAGAGGGCCCGCGAAGGAACGCAAGAAGGAAGAGGUAAGGGCUGGCCUCGCAGUCCAGCCUAAAGGAGCGGACACACGAGCCCCCCACUGGCAGAGCUGCUCUCAGGCAGAGGGUCUGCUGGCUGAGGACUCACGAGCUAGAGAAGCUCUGGCCUCCUGGGGAAGAGCAAAAUGGAUACCAAAGAAAAUUCCAAGUCGGGGCGAGGGCCAGCUUCUCCUCUCCUGGGGCCGCGAUGAGCAGAAAAAGAUGGAUGCUGACUUUGCAAAGGAGAAGCAGGGAUUCUAGACUCCGGCCCUGCCCUGCACAUUCUGGGAGACUGCUUCUCCCGCUGGAAGCCUUCCCUGGGUGAGGUCGAGCUUGGGGCUGCAAAAUAGCUCCCGAGGGCAGGAGGAACCAAGAAGCACCGCGGGGAGGGACCAGAUGUGUCAUCUGAACCCACACACCGCGACCAGCGGCUGCCAUGUCCCUGGAGAUUCAUGCCAAGGGACAAAACAGCGACCCAGACAGUGCCCACAUCUGCUGGGCUCAGGAAACUCAGCCACAGACCGCAGAAUCACCAACUGCAGGAAACCCAAGCUUAGAAUUAGCAUCAACCAGAGGAGAGCCUUCAGAUCCGCCAGUCCAGGCUUCUUGGCUCUGCGGCUGGGGCAGCUGGGGCCCAGAGAGGGCAGGGGCGUGCCCACAGGCACAGAGCAAAGGGCCAGCCUUGGGCACCUAGUUCCUGGUCCAAAGUCAUCUGGCUUUCCUGCCGACAGUUCUGAGGCCGCCCCGUCUCAGCGGCAGGCAGGGCUAGAAGCUUCCUGUGAACACACAUGGGCCACGGCCCGAGAAGCUACACGAACAGGAUUCUCCAAGUCCCUUCUCUCCCUGCUCCUUCCCAGCUUUUGAGCUAAAAGAAGGAAGGGCAGAGGGAUACUGUCCACACUGGAUGAGAGGGCAGGAAGGCGGGAGCCCCUAUUCUCAAAACCCGCCAAGGACGGAGAGGCAGCCUUUACACCUGUCACCCCCUCUUCCCUCGCUCCUUAGGUACCCAGGCCCCUGUCCUGGCUCCCAGGCUCAGCACAAGCCCCGCCAUCCCCCACGUCACCGCCAACACCAAAGCGAGAGCCGAGAAACUGAGAGAUGGUCCCUGUUGGACCCAGAGGACGACACGGGACAGAGAGAUGUGGGAACUGGGGGCAGAGAAAGAGUUCUAAAGAGGAGACAUUCGGGCUGGGGGAACAGUGCAUUAGCCAUUUCAGAAGCCCACCUUGCCCCUCUCCAAACAUGAAGCACAGUAUCUGAAAAGAAGAAAACAAAAAGGUUUUUGGCUUCUUGGCCGCUGCCAGCCACCAUCCUCCCAAGCACGUGUAAACGGUGGGCUCCGCAUCCCCGGAGCGCUGGACACACGAGGCAGCAGCAACAGUUAACAACCAAUAAAUAAAAGAGAUCAAUUAGAUAGGUAUAUAUAUAUAAAAAAAAAACCCUCACUUUUCCCACAAAUAGCACAAUACUGUUAUCACAAAAAAUCAGCAUCAUCGUAAUUCAUCAUCCUAUAGCCACACAGGUGGUUUGGCUGCUCGAGGAUGAGACGACAAACCCCGUUCGGCCUUCUCCCCAUCUGUCAGUCUGAAUCUUCUAGGACAGAAGGUAGUUUGUUUGUUUGUUUGUUUUUCCUUUUUCAAUUGUCUAUUUGAAAU
Molecule: long non-coding RNA, 2523 nt
Filed under: Sus scrofa (pig)
Lineage: Eukaryota; Metazoa; Chordata; Mammalia; Artiodactyla; Suidae
Description: lncRNA (ENSSSCG00035079876.1)
Source: RNAcentral